UGAGAGUGCCCCGGGAAAACCUCCCAUUAAAAUCUGGCCUCUUCGGCGUCCGAGUUGUAAUUUAGAGAAGUGUUUUCCGCGCCGGACCGUGUACAAGUCUCCUGGAACGGAGCGUCAUAGAGGGUGAGAAUCCCGUCUUUGACACGGACCCCCGGUGCUCUGUGAUACGCUCUCGAAGAGUCGAGUUGUUUGGGAAUGCAGCUCAAAAUGGGUGGUGAACUCCAUCUAAAGCUAAAUAUUGGCGAGAGACCGAUAGCGAACAAGUACCGUGAGGGAAAGAUGAAAAGCACUUUGGAAAGAGAGUGAAACAGUACGUGAAAUUGUUGAAAGGGAAACGCUUGAAGUCAGUCGCGUCCGUCGGGAUUCAGCCGCAAGGUGUACUUUCCGGUGGACGGGCCAGCAUCACUUUCGAUCAUCGGAAAAGGUCGUUGGGAAUGUGGCACCUCCGGGUGUGUUAUAGCCCUUCGUCGUAUACGGUGACCGGGAGUGAGGACCGCCUUUUUGUAGGAUGCUGGCGUAAUGGCUUUAAACGACCCGUCUUGAAACACGGACCAAGGAGUCUAACAUGCCCGCGAGUGUUCGGGUGGAAAACCCGUGCGCGUAAUGAAAGUGAAAGUUGGGAAGGCUGUCGCGGCCUGCACCGACGCCCGGACUUGAGAUUUAUCGACGGUUCUGCGGUAGAGCGUGUAUGUUGGGACCCGAAAGAUGGUGAACUAUGCCUGAAUAGGGUGAAGCCAGAGGAAACUCUGGUGGAGGCUCGUAGCGAUUCUGACGUGCAAAUCGAUCGUCAAAUUUGGGUAUAGGGGCGAAAGACUAAUCGAACCAUCUAGUAGCUGGUUCCUGCCGAA
RNAcentral lists this ribosomal RNA (848 nucleotides) under Peniophora monticola. RNAcentral describes it as "LSU rRNA". It matches the Rfam family "Eukaryotic large subunit ribosomal RNA", at positions 88 to 965 of the family's 3401-position model. Lineage: Eukaryota; Fungi; Basidiomycota; Agaricomycetes; Russulales; Peniophoraceae. The record is from RNAcentral.